Molecule: long non-coding RNA, 1044 nt
Organism: Eucalyptus grandis
Lineage: Eukaryota; Viridiplantae; Streptophyta; Magnoliopsida; Myrtales; Myrtaceae
Exons: 2
Source: RefSeq, a predicted model, not a curated record
UCAGCCCUUUUUGGUUUCUUGGCUCUCUUCCACCCAUUGUGCGACCUCUCAAUUCAUUUCAUCUCAAACCCACCUUCUCUCUUUACUUACCUAAUUUCAAAUACCCUCCUUUCCUACCCACAAGUAAUAGGCUAUAAAGAGAACCUCUCUCUCUCUCUCUCUCUAUGCAAGGCAUUAUAAAUUGCGGUACGAGACUCCUUGACAACUUCAACAUUGCUAUUUGAUCAGCAAUUCCUUUUUCUUCUUGUCUUAAUCCCAGAUAGUGUUCUUUUGAGAAGAGCUACUUCUUCAAACUCAAGGUGAGCUCCAAGAAGGGAAAUAUUGCUUGAGAGAAAAGCCAGGUACAGCUUCCAAGAUGAGCGGCGGAAGAGCAAAGAGCCCCAAGCUAGAGCUGAGGCUGAACUUGUCGCCACCGAGAGCUGACGAUGGCCAUUAUCAUCUCCAAACGAAGGAAUCGCCAAACUCAUCACCUUCUUCAUGCGAAAGCUCAUGCAUCUCCACCUCACCAACGGGGCUCGAAGCGAACCGCAACAGCAACAGCAAUGGCAACGUCAGCAUAGGCUACUUGGGCAAGGAUCCUCGACCUCGAGUGGUCGCUUCGAUGGUGGUCGUGGGCUGCCCUCGAUGCCUCAUGUACGUGAUGCUAUCCGAGGUCGACCCCAAGUGCCCGAGGUGCAAGAGCUCCGUCCUGCUCGAUUUCGUCAACGAAGACAAUCACUCUGCCAAGAAGAACAGGAUCUGAAGCGCUCGAACCCGGAAAUCCCUACGAGAUUUGCUCUUUUGCUCAGGGCCUCUAUACAAUAGUAGUCGCCUCUCUUGACGUGGUGAUUCAGUUCGAUGAUCUACUUCGCUUUGCACGCGUCUCGUUUCGAUCUCUCUUUUCUUUCUCCUGUCUGCUUUCCUCUUGUGAUGCAGUUUGACUUUGAUCUGCCUAGCUAGAAAAGAUUAAUUUAUUAGUUAAAAGGUAGUUCUAUCACUAAUGUCGUGUUACUAAAUUUCUCUGUCUAAAUUAUUUGGUUAAUGGAAUACUUGCAAACCCUCGAA